RNAcentral lists this ribosomal RNA (376 nucleotides) under uncultured eukaryote. RNAcentral describes it as "partial 18S ribosomal RNA". It matches the Rfam family "Eukaryotic small subunit ribosomal RNA", at positions 592 to 976 of the family's 1831-position model. The record is from RNAcentral.
CAAUAGCGUAUAUUAAAGUUGUUGCGGUUAAAAAGCUCGUAGUUGGAUUUCUGCUGAGAACGACCGGUCCGCCCUCUGGGUGUGUAUCUGGCUCUUUCUUGGCAUCUUCUUGGUGAACGUUGCUGCACUUGACUGUGUGGAGCGCUACCCAGGACUUUUACUUUGAGGAAAUUAGAGUGUUUCAAGCAGGCAUACGCCUUGAGUACUCCAGCAUGGAAUAAUCGAAUGACAUUCGAAGUUUUUGUUGGUUGACGCGGAGAUGUAUUGAUUGAUAGGAACAGCUGGGGGUAUUCGUAUUCAACAGUCAGAGGUGAAAUUCUUAGAUUUGUUGAAGACGAACUAAUGCGAAAGCAUUUACCAAGAAUGUUUCCAUUAG